This is a transfer RNA of Lasius niger, 57 nucleotides long. It matches the Rfam family "tRNA", at positions 16 to 71 of the family's 71-position model. Rfam says of the family: Transfer RNA (tRNA) molecules are approximately 80 nucleotides in length. Their secondary structure includes four short double-helical elements and three loops (D, anti-codon, and T loops). NCBI's taxonomy places the organism in Eukaryota, Metazoa, Arthropoda, Insecta, Hymenoptera, Formicidae. The record is from Rfam.
UGGUUAAAGCAGUCGCCCGGCAAGCGAAAGACGCAGGUUCGAUUCCUGCUUCAGCGA